Molecule: long non-coding RNA, 4587 nt
Filed under: Sus scrofa (pig)
Lineage: Eukaryota; Metazoa; Chordata; Mammalia; Artiodactyla; Suidae
Description: lncRNA (ENSSSCG00000044830.2)
Source: RNAcentral
CACAAUCGGUUAAGCCACAAUCGAAUGAAUCUUUGUGUAAUUAUUUUGCAUCUCGGGUAUUCCUACUAGAGCGUCAUCUCUGUGAGGCCAGGGACUUUGUCAUGCUGUAUAUUGUGGUCUCCCUGGGACAAUGCCUGGCACACAGCCAGGUGUCAAUACAUGCUAGUUGGGCAAGUGAGCAAUUAAAACCUCUCAUAAUCUACAUAAUCAUGUAUACACUGAAAUAACACAAGUAUGUCUCACAAGAGAUCUGUCAGUCUUUUCAAUACCGGAGUUAAUUCACAAGAAGAGAAUUCACAUGUAGCGUCAUUUUUUUAUAUAUCCGGCUAGUAAUUAGGUAACAUAAAAUUUUACUCGGGUUUUCUUACUUAUAAAAUGACUAUAGCUCUAACGAAAAGUCAGAUAAUAUUCCUUUCUUUUUUUCUCUGAAAUAGAUAUUCUGCAAAGAAGAAAAUCAUUCCCAAUUAUGAUGCUAUCAUUAGACCUCUCGGGCCUCCUAGGAAACAAUUCAUGAAGAGCCCACCAGCCAGCCUUUUGUUCAUUAUGUAAGAAGGCGGACUCUGGCUGGUACUUAGGUGAUAUUUUUGCCUGUGGAGAUCAAAAAAGAAACUAGUUGGCGGAGAAUAAUUUUCUUUAUUCUGCCUCUGCUUUAUAAUACAUUCCAUAUUUUCCUCAAACAAAUGUAUAAUCCUCAACAAGUUAACUGAUCUUUGGAAUGUGGGCACCACUGACUUUUAUUUUUAAUAAGGAUUAAAAUUAAGUAGGGAUUAUAUUAAAAUGCAGUUUUGGAGGAAGCCUUUAGAGUUUUAUUAAAUAUUGUAAAUAACCUUUCAAACUAUGAACUUGAGAAUGUAGAGGCUUGGGCAGCCUUUUGGACUUGUUCUUGGAAUGAAGGGCCGGAAUCGUUUCCACCAGGGUUCAAAAUCUUAUGUGAAUUCUACAAAUAGCAGAAAAUAUGGUAUUACAAUUUAUGGUUUGUUUGUUUGUUUAGUUUUGUUUUGUUUUUCUGUACCUGCAGCAUGUGGACGUUCUUGGACCAGGGAGAAAUCUGAGCUGCAGUUGUGACCUACACUGCCAUUGCAGCAAUGGUGGAUCCUUAACUCACUGCACCACAUGGGAACUCCUAUACACUCUUUUUAAAAGCUACCUUCAGCUGAAGCGGUAGACAGGAUCUAGGGGGGUGGGGAAUUGGGGAGAUGUUAUUAAAGGAUACAAACUUGCAAAACCUAAAGGUGAAUAAGUCCGGGGGAGCUAAUGCACAGCACCGUGACUGCAGUUAACAAUACUGCAUCAGCACCCUCAGAGUUGCUAAGAGACUAGAUCUUAAAUGUUCUCACCACAAGAAAAGAAAUGAUACUUAUGUGACAUAACGGAGGUGUUAGCUAAGACUGCUAUGGUAUUCAAGUUGCAAUACAUAAAUGUACCAAACCCACACAUUGUACACUUUAAACUUACAAAGGGUUAUAUGUCAAUUAUAUCUUAAGUCUCCUUUGCAAAACCUAGCCUCAGUAAGGAAUAUUAUGUUAAAGCUUCAAUUCAGCAGCAUUUUAAAUAUAUUCUAAGAAUGUUUCUCUAGUUGACGGGUGGUUAGAUAUGAAUGAUUUGUGUUAAAAUAUUGUAUUCAUUCAUUCAUUCAUCCAUCCAUCCAUUUAUCAAGAAUUUAUUUAAAACCCAAAAUGCACCAUGUCCAGUUCAAGGCACUUGGGAUAGACAUCAUAAAUAAAGCAUAAAAAGAUUUCUGCCCUGUGGAGAUUAUAUUGUAAUAGGGGAGACGUCCAAUUAACCAUCAAUAUAUUAUUACGUAAAUUAUGUAGCAUUAAUCUGUCCAAAAUGUUUAUUGAAUAUUUAUAAGCCCAGCAAUAUACAGAACAAAGAUCUCUAUGUCUGUGCAUUCCACUUUCUAACGAGGGGAGAUAAACAGCAAAUAGAAUAAAUAAGUUAUAUAGCGUAUUAGAAAUAGUUAAAAUUAAUAGAUCUAAAUCCAAAACAGAGGAAAUGGUUGAAAUAUGUUGAAAUAUAUUUUCUUUCCUUCCAAAAGUUUCAAAGAUUCUGAAUACUCUGAAAGCAAAAUAUGUCCACUUUUAACGAAUUAUUUGUAAAAAAAAAAAAAGUGUCUAGUCAUGAGAUCUCUUUUGUUAAUAAGUAUAAUCAUUCACUCUCUGAUGUAUUUAUUUUAAAAAUGCUGGAGUUCCCACUGUGGUGCAGUGGGUUAAGAAUCCAGUGUUGCCCCUGUGAUGGCUCAGGUCACUCCUGAGGCUUGGGUUUGAUCCCUGGCCCAGGGCAGUGCGUUAGGGUCUGGGAUUGCUGCAGCUGUGGGGUAGAUCACUGCUGCAGUUUCCAUUCCAUCCCUGGCCUGGGAAACUCCAUGUGCCAUGGGUCCAGCUGGAAAAGAAAAAAAAAAUGUUAUCAGUGCUUGUUUGGCACAGAAGAUGGCAGCAAACAAUGUACACCCAAUCCCUGCCCUCAUGGGCAAAUAUUUGCUAUUUAUCCUAGAACUUCAUGGAGAAGACACAGAUUUGAUAAAGCAUGUAUCUGCAUAGCACAUUUACCCUGAAGUGAAUAACUACUUUUUUAAAAAAUUGAAGUAUAAUUAAAUAAAAAUGUUGUGUUAGUUUCAGCUAUACAGUUUUAUAUAUACAUAUAGAGAGUAUAUAUAUUACAUAUAUAAAGUAUAUGUACUAUAAAGUGUGUGUGUGUAUAUAUAUAUACUUUUCCAGAUUCUUUUCCAUUAUAAAUUAUUACAUGACAUUAAAUAUUUCUCCCUGUGCUAUAGAGUAGGAGUAGGUCCUUGUUGUUUAUCUAUUUUGUAUAUUGCAGUGUAUAUACGUUAAUCCCAAACUCCUAAUUUAUCCUUCUCUCGAAUAACUACUUUUUAAAGACUUCUUUCCUGCUUCUUUUGUCAGUUGAAAAACUCCCGAAAUCUAAAACACUGUUUCUAACUGAAGGGAUGGGGAAAGGGUAACAGGCUUUGCUGCUGCCAAUAUUAUUCCAUUUUCAUUGGGACAAGGAAGCCUUUAUCGAAGCUACGUUAACUCAAUCAUCAAGGAAGGUGCAGGGAGAGAUGUUCCCGACUGCACAUCCCUCAGGCUGUCCAGGUAAAGAAACUGUAGCUUCUAUGAGAUUUUCAAUAACCACUUCUGUGACCUCCUUUCAACCCUUAAUUCAUGUAAUAUUCUUAAUGUCCCAAUGUCCAAAUUGGGGAAGUUAUUUUAAGGAAGAAACUGUACCAUAGCCAAUAUCUUAUGGUCAUUAAAUGCUCCAAAGAUUUUUGUGGUAGAAUGUGUUCUUUUGGCUAGCUUAGAGGUCCUUCCCCCCUUUUCCGUCCCUAGCACCCCACUUUUCCUUUGGCAAACCACCCGCUUCAUUCCACAUGCCAGGACUGCCAAUCAACUGACCCAGCUCCCUUGGCCAAGCAGUGUACCUGGGAACUGAGCCAGACCAGGCUGAUUCUUCUGGGAUUUGAAUCUUGAGUGGGGUGACUCAAGGUCAGAAAACAUUUGUAGCCAAGACUUUCUGAUGGUGGAGCCCUGAAGAAAUCAUCCAUUCUUUCUUGCCAUCUAGAACCCCACGCAUAACUGAAUUAUCCCAUAUAUCCUUCCAGUAAAAUCCCCUUAUAUUUAAACGUGCCUGAAUUGACUUCAGUUACUUCUGACCAAAGAAUCCAAUAUACUUACCCAUAUAAAUAGAUUGGAGAAUGUACUGAAUAAUUACUAGACCUUUAAAAAUACAUCUGUUGAGACUGGCAAGGAUGAGAAUUUAUUUUUUCUAGAGUCAGGCAAAAAAAAAUUGUAUUCUUUUUUUUUUUUUUUUUUGUCUUUUUGUCCUUUUUAGGGCCAUACCCACGGCAUACGAGGCUAGGAGUCUAAUCAGAGCUGUAGCCACCGGCCUACACUAGAGCCACAGCAACACCAGAUCCGAGCCACGUCUGUGACCUACACUACAGAUCACAGCAACACCGGAUCCUUAACCCACUGAGCAAGGCCAGGGAUCAAACCCACAACCUCAUGGUUCCUAGUCAGAUUCGUUAACCACUGCGCCACGAUGGGAACUCCAAGAAAAAUUGUAUUCUUAAAAGAAAUCAUUAUUUUAAAAAGGAAGUACAAAUAGAUUGGUCUUUUUAUGUGAAACUAUUGAUGACCAAAUAAAUUCUGUAAUGCAUAUAAACUUUUGCCUCUAAAACGACAUACUUAGGGCAGAAAUAAAGUGAGUCACUGCCAUAGUCCCUUCACUAAAAAAGGCCAUAUACGUAUAUACAUGUAUGUAUGUAUUUAUGUGUGUGUGUGUGUGUGUGUGUAGUCACACACACAUAUUUGCAUCUCUUAAGUAUCAUUUCCAGCCCUUCCAUUCUGAUGACUCCUCAGGGCUGUCGCCAUUUCUAACUUACAGGGAGGAAGCAAUCCAGAUCCUGGUGUGCCUUUUUCAACAUAACUCUGAUCACUGGCUUCCGAUUUUUAAAUUUCUGGGUUCCUAGAAUGUUUAAAUAAAUCAGGAAAAUUUUACAAACUUCAGAAUACAGUGUCAAUGGUGAAAAUAUGGCCAAAUAAUAAGUAACACUACUUGAUGAAUUUUUAUAGAUAGUGCUCUUAU